RNAcentral lists this ribosomal RNA (253 nucleotides) under uncultured bacterium. Its description in RNAcentral is "partial 16S ribosomal RNA". It matches the Rfam family "Bacterial small subunit ribosomal RNA", at positions 524 to 776 of the family's 1533-position model. The record is from RNAcentral.
UACGAAGGGUGCAAACGUUGCUCGGAAUCAUUGGGCGUAAAGCGCACGUAGGCGGCUUCACAAGUCGGAUGUGAAAUCCCACGGCUCAACCGUGGACGUGCAUCCGAAACUGGGAGGCUUGAGUACUGAAGAGGAUCGCGGAAUUCCCGGUGUAGAGGUGAAAUUCGUAGAUAUCGGGAGGAACACCAGUGGCGAAGGCGACUUCCUGGCCUGCUCUUGACGCUGAGGCGCGAAAGCUAGGGGAGCAAACGGG